This 250-nucleotide ribosomal RNA is filed under the name uncultured bacterium. Its description in RNAcentral is "partial 16S ribosomal RNA". It matches the Rfam family "Bacterial small subunit ribosomal RNA", at positions 810 to 1058 of the family's 1533-position model. The record is from RNAcentral.
UGAGUGCUAAGUGUUGGGAGGUUUCCGCCUCUCAGUGCUGCAGCUAACGCAUUAAGCACUCCGCCUGGGGAGUACGACCGCAAGGUUGAAACUCAAAGGAAUUGACGGGGGCCCGCACAAGCGGUGGAGCAUGUGGUUUAAUUCGAAGCAACGCGAAGAACCUUACCAGGUCUUGACAUCCAGUGCAAACCUAAGAGAUUAGGUGUUCCCUUCGGGGACGCUGAGACAGGUGGUGCAUGGCUGUCGUCAG